This 440-nucleotide ribosomal RNA is filed under the name uncultured bacterium. Its description in RNAcentral is "partial 16S ribosomal RNA". It matches the Rfam family "Bacterial small subunit ribosomal RNA", at positions 339 to 795 of the family's 1533-position model. The record is from RNAcentral.
CUACGGGAGGCUCCAGUGGGGAAUAUUGCACAAUGGGCGCAAGCCUGAUGCAGCAACGCCGCGUGAACGAUGAAGGCCUUCGGGUUGUAAAGUUCUUUUCUUAGGGAAGAAUAAAUGACGGUACCUAAGGAAUCAGCCCCGGCUAACUACGUGCCAGCAGCCGCGGUAAUACGUAGGGGGCAAGCGGUAUCCGGAAUCACUGGGCGUAAAGGGAGUGUAGGCGGUCAAGCAAGUCAGGGGUGAAAGGCAUCGGCUCAACCGAUGUAAGCCUUUGAAACUGUUUGACUUGAGUGCAGGAGAGGUAAGUGGAAUUCCUAGUGUAGCGGUGAAAUGCGUAGAUAUUAGGAGGAACACCAGUGGCGAAGGCGACUUACUGGACUGUAACUGACGCUGAGGCUCGAAAGCGUGGGGAGCGAACAGGAUUAGAUACCCCUGUAGUC